AGCAGCCGCGGUAAUUCCAGCUCCAAUAGCGUAUAUUAAAGUUGUUGCAGUUAAAAGCUCGUAGUUGAAUUUCGGGGUCAGCAGGUCGGUCGUGCCAAUGGUAUGCACUGGCCUUGCUGAUUCCUCCCUCUUGAUGAGCCGUAAUGCCAUUAGUUUGGUGUUGCGGGGAAUCAGGACUGUUACUUUGAAAAAUUGAGUGUUUAAAGCAGGCAAGCGCUUGAAUACAUUAGCAUGGAAUAAUGAAAUAGGACGUUUGAUCCUAUUUUGUUGGUUUCUAGGAUUGACGUAAUGA
RNAcentral lists this unclassified non-coding RNA (292 nucleotides) under uncultured Glomus. Its description in RNAcentral is "sequence contains 18S rRNA gene". It matches the Rfam family "Eukaryotic small subunit ribosomal RNA", at positions 569 to 868 of the family's 1831-position model. Lineage: Eukaryota; Fungi; Glomeromycota; Glomeromycetes; Glomerales; Glomeraceae. The record is from RNAcentral.